GAAAAAACUUCAUUUGACAAUUGGAGCAAUACAGAGAUGAUUACCGCCAUGACCUUUGUGCAAGGAUGACAUGCAUAAAUUGAGAGAUGAAUUCAAAAUUU
Malus domestica (apple) is the source of this 101-nucleotide small nuclear RNA. NCBI's taxonomy places the organism in Eukaryota, Viridiplantae, Streptophyta, Magnoliopsida, Rosales, Rosaceae. The record is from RefSeq and is a predicted model, not a curated record.